This is a long non-coding RNA of Amphimedon queenslandica, 359 nucleotides long. RefSeq lists it as uncharacterized. The record is from RefSeq and is a predicted model, not a curated record. Lineage: Eukaryota; Metazoa; Porifera; Demospongiae; Haplosclerida; Niphatidae. The transcript has 3 exons.
UAUAAAAAACGUGAGGUAUAUCACUGAAAAGCAAGUCUCUUAUGACCAGACUGUUGCCUAAAUUUCCUUGCCAGUUUUUUGAAUGUUACAUCAUCUAAUCGUUUAGCAGUGCAGAGUCAUCAUUAACUAUGCAAGAUGCAGUGAUAGCCGUUACAGUUGAUGGCACAUUAAAGGUAUGAUUGAUUCACACUAUUACUGAGAUAAAGGAGUUGAUUGAUCUAUUUAGGUCUUCCAGUCCAUUCUCAUUGACUUAAUUGCAGACUUCUUACUAGCUCUUGUUGUUCACAGAGACUCGUGGCAGGUAAUGAUGAUAUAUUGUGUAGCUACAUGUAACAUGUAUGUCGUACAUAGUAGAUGCA